AGAGUUUGAUCCUGGCUCAGAUUGAACGCUGGCGGAAUGCUUUACACAUGCAAGUCGAACGGCAGCACGGGGGCAACCCUGGUGGCGAGUGGCGAACGGGUGAGUAAUACAUCGGAACGUGCCCAGUCGUGGGGGAUAACGUAGCGAAAGCUACGCUAAUCCGCAUACGAUCUAUGGAUGAAAGCGGGGGACCGUAAGCCUCGCGCGAUUGGAGCGGCCGAUGGCAGAUUAGGUAGUUGGUGGGGUAAAGGCUCACCAAGCCUGCGAUCUGUAGCUGGUCUGAGAGGACGACCAGCCACACUGGGACUGAGACACGGCCCAGACUCCUACGGGAGGCAGCAGUGGGGAAUUUUGGACAAUGGGCGCAAGCCUGAUCCAGCCAUUCCGCGUGCAGGAUGAAGGCCUUCGGGUUGUAAACUGCUUUUGUACGGAACGAAAAGGCUCUUUCUAAUACAGAGGGCUCAUGACGGUACCGUAAGAAUAAGCACCGGCUAACUACGUGCCAGCAGCCGCGGUAAUACGUAGGGUGCAAGCGUUAAUCGGAAUUACUGGGCGUAAAGCGUGCGCAGGCGGUGAUGUAAGACAGAUGUGAAAUCCCCGGGCUCAACCUGGGAACUGCAUUUGUGACUGCAUCGCUGGAGUGCGGCAGAGGGGGAUGGAAUUCCGCGUAGCAGUGAAAUGCGUAGAUAUGCGGAGGAACACCGAUGGCGAAGGCAAUCCCCUGGGCCUGCACUGACGCUCAUGCACGAAAGCGUGGGGAGCAAACAGGAUUAGAUACCCUAGUAGUCC
Molecule: ribosomal RNA, 789 nt
Filed under: uncultured bacterium
Lineage: Bacteria
Description: bacterial SSU rRNA
Rfam family: Bacterial small subunit ribosomal RNA
Source: RNAcentral